UACGUAGGGUGCGAGCGUUGUCCGGAAUUACUGGGCGUAAAGAGCUCGUAGGUGGUUUGUCGCGUUGUCCGUGAAAUUCCCUGGCUUAACUGGGGGCGUGCGGGCGAUACGGGCAGACUGGAGUACUGCAGGGGAGACUGGAAUUCCUGGUGUAGCGGUGGAAUGCGCAGAAUAUCAGGAGGAACACCGGUGGCGAAGGCGGUUCUCUGGGCGAUGUCCUGACGCUGGAGGAG
This 233-nucleotide ribosomal RNA is filed under the name uncultured bacterium. RNAcentral describes it as "partial 16S ribosomal RNA". It matches the Rfam family "Bacterial small subunit ribosomal RNA", at positions 524 to 753 of the family's 1533-position model. The record is from RNAcentral.